CCUCUCACCCUGUGACUACCUAAACGUUGCCUCGGCGGAAACAGACGGCCCCGUGAAAACGGGCCGCCCCCGCCAGAGGACCCCCUAACUCUGUUUCUAUAAUGUUUCUUCUGAGUAAAACAAGCAAAUAAAUUAAAACUUUCAACAACGGAUCUCUUGGCUCUGGCAUCGAUGAAGAACGCAGCGAAAUGCGAUAAGUAAUGUGAAUUGCAGAAUUCAGUGAAUCAUCGAAUCUUUGAACGCACAUUGCGCCCGCCAGUAUUCUGGCGGGCAUGCCUGUUCGAGCGUCAUUACAACCCUCAGGCCCCCGGGCCUGGCGUUGGGGAUCGGCGGAGGCCCUCCGUGGGCACACGCCGUCCCCCAAAUACAGUGGCGGUCCCGCCGCAGCUUCCAUCGCGUAGUAGCUAACACCUCGCGACUGGAGAGCGGCGCGGCCACGCCGUAAAACCCCCAACUCUUCUGAAGUUGACCUCGAAUCAGGUAGGAAUACCCGCUGAACUUAAGCAUAUCAAUAAGCGGAGGA
Molecule: ribosomal RNA, 523 nt
Filed under: Fusarium solani
Lineage: Eukaryota; Fungi; Ascomycota; Sordariomycetes; Hypocreales; Nectriaceae
Description: eukaryotic LSU rRNA
Rfam family: 5.8S ribosomal RNA (bases 137-290)
Source: RNAcentral